This 253-nucleotide ribosomal RNA is filed under the name uncultured bacterium. Its description in RNAcentral is "partial 16S ribosomal RNA". It matches the Rfam family "Bacterial small subunit ribosomal RNA", at positions 524 to 776 of the family's 1533-position model. The record is from RNAcentral.
UACGUAGGGUGCAAGCGUUAAUCGGAAUUACUGGGCGUAAAGCGUACGCAGGCGGCUUUGCAAGACAGGUGUGAAAUCCCCGGGCCUAACCUGGGAACUGCAUUUGUGACUGCAUAGCUAGAGUUUGUCAGAGGGGGGUGGAAUUCCACGUGUAGCAGUGAAAUGCGUAGAUAUGUGGAGGAACACCGAUGGCGAAGGCAGCCCCCUGGGAUGAGACUGACGCUCAUGUACGAAAGCGUGGGGAGCAAACAGG